GCAGAUGUAGUUCAGUGGUAGAACACUACCUUGCCAAGGUAGUUAUGCGGGUUCGAUUCCCGUCAUCUGCUCCA
RNAcentral lists this transfer RNA (74 nucleotides) under Bacillota bacterium. RNAcentral's name for it is "tRNA-Gly". It matches the Rfam family "tRNA". From Rfam's summary of the family: Transfer RNA (tRNA) molecules are approximately 80 nucleotides in length. Their secondary structure includes four short double-helical elements and three loops (D, anti-codon, and T loops). Further hydrogen bonds mediate the characteristic L-shaped molecular structure. tRNAs have two regions of fundamental functional importance: the anti-codon, which is responsible for specific mRNA codon recognition, and the 3' end, to which the tRNAs corresponding amino acid is attached (by aminoacyl-tRNA synthetases). tRNAs cope with the degeneracy of the genetic code in two manners: having more than one tRNA (with a specific anti-codon) for a particular amino acid; and 'wobble' base-pairing, i.e. permitting non-standard base-pairing at the 3rd anti-codon position. Lineage: Bacteria; Bacillati; Bacillota. The record is from RNAcentral. RNAcentral also lists the same sequence under 4 other names.